AUACGGAGGGGGCUAGCGUUGUUCGGAAUUACUGGGCGUAAAGGGCACGUAGGCGGCUUGGUCAGUCGGAUGUGAAAGCCCCGGGCUUAACCUGGGAAUUGCAUUCGAUACUGCCAGGCUAGAAUGUAGUAGAGGGUAGUGGAAUUCCGGGUGUAGCGGUGAAAUGCGUAGAUAUCCGGAGGAACAUCAGUGGCGAAGGCGACUACCUGGACUAACAUUGACGCUGAGGUGCGAAAGCGUGGGGAGCAAACAGAAUUAGAAACCCCAGUAGUCC
RNAcentral lists this ribosomal RNA (274 nucleotides) under uncultured bacterium. Its description in RNAcentral is "partial 16S ribosomal RNA". It matches the Rfam family "Bacterial small subunit ribosomal RNA", at positions 523 to 796 of the family's 1533-position model. The record is from RNAcentral.